Molecule: ribosomal RNA, 465 nt
Filed under: Vreelandella stevensii
Lineage: Bacteria; Pseudomonadati; Pseudomonadota; Gammaproteobacteria; Oceanospirillales; Halomonadaceae
Description: partial 16S ribosomal RNA
Rfam family: Bacterial small subunit ribosomal RNA
Source: RNAcentral
CCUACGGGUGGCUGCAGUGGGGAAUAUUGGACAAUGGGGGGAACCCUGAUCCAGCCAUGCCGCGUGUGUGAAGAAGGCCCUCGGGUUGUAAAGCACUUUCAGUGAGGAAGAACGCAUGGUGGCUAAUACCCAUCAGGAAAGACAUCACUCACAGAAGAAGCACCGGCUAACUCCGUGCCAGCAGCCGCGGUAAUACGGAGGGUGCGAGCGUUAAUCGGAAUUACUGGGCGUAAAGCGCGCGUAGGUGGCUUGAUAAGCCGGUUGUGAAAGCCCCGGGCUCAACCUGGGAACGGCAUCCGGAACUGUCAAGCUAGAGUGCAGGAGAGGAAGGUAGAAUUCCCGGUGUAGCGGUGAAAUGCGUAGAGAUCGGGAGGAAUACCAGUGGCGAAGGCGGCCUUCUGGACUGACACUGACACUGAGGUGCGAAAGCGUGGGUAGCAAACAGGAUUAGAUACCCGAGUAGUC